AAAAAGACAAACCCUGGGUUUACAUAUCCAACGUUUGACUGUCCGUCUUAUAUAAAUUUUUUUUAUAAUUAGUAUUUUUAUUGUUGUUAGAUGAUAAAACAUGAUUAAUACUUUAUGCGUGGCGUGACUUGUCUUUUUAAUUUAUUUUUUUUAAAUAAGAUGGACGGUCAAACGUUGGAUAUGAAAACUCAGGGUUUGUCUUUUC
Molecule: microRNA precursor, 205 nt
Organism: Oryza rufipogon (brownbeard rice)
Lineage: Eukaryota; Viridiplantae; Streptophyta; Magnoliopsida; Poales; Poaceae
Rfam family: MIR812 microRNA precursor family
Source: Rfam